GAUGGACGCUGGCGGCGUGCCUAAUACAUGCAAGUCGAGCGAACGGACGAGAAGCUUGCUUUUCUGAUGUUAGCGGCGGACGGGUGAGUAACACGUGGAUAACCUACCUAUAAGACUGGGAUAACUUCGGGAAACCGGAGCUAAUACCGGAUAAUAUUUUGAACCGCAUGGUUCAAAAGUGAAAGACGGUCUUGCUGUCACUUAUAGAUGGAUCCGCGCUGCAUUAGCUAGUUGGUAAGGUAACGGCUUACCAAGGCAACGAUGCAUAGCCGACCUGAGAGGGUGAUCGGCCACACUGGAACUGAGACACGGUCCAGACUCCUACGGGAGGCAGCAGUAGGGAAUCUUCCGCAAAGGGCGAAAGCCUGACGGAGCAACGCCGCGUGAGUGAUGAAGGUCUUCGGAUCGUAAAACUCUGUUAUUAGGGAAGAACAUAUGUGUAAGUAACUGUGCACAUCUUGACGGUACCUAAUCAGAAAGCCACGGCUAACUACGUG
RNAcentral lists this ribosomal RNA (497 nucleotides) under uncultured bacterium. Its description in RNAcentral is "partial 16S ribosomal RNA". It matches the Rfam family "Bacterial small subunit ribosomal RNA", at positions 28 to 507 of the family's 1533-position model. The record is from RNAcentral.